AUGCUUACUUUGGCAGCACAUACAGUGAAAUUGGAACCAGAGAAGAGGCUGGCCCUUGCACAAGGAUGACAUGUAAAUUUAUGGGCGUUCCAUAUUUGU
Small nuclear RNA from Ictidomys tridecemlineatus (thirteen-lined ground squirrel), 99 nucleotides. The record is from Ensembl. NCBI's taxonomy places the organism in Eukaryota, Metazoa, Chordata, Mammalia, Rodentia, Sciuridae.